UACGAAGGGUGCAAGCGUUACUCGGAAUUAUUGGGCGUAAAGCGCGCGCAGGCGGCUGUUUAAGUCUGGUGUUUAAGCCCGGGGCUCAACCCCGGUUCGCACCGGAAACUGGGCAGCUUGAGUGCAGGAGAGGAAAGUGGAAUUCCACGUGUAGCGGUGAAAUGCGUAGAGAUGUGGAGGAACACCAGUGGCGAAGGCGACUUUCUGGCCUGUAACUGACGCUGAGGCGCGAAAGCGUGGGGAGCAAACAGG
This 252-nucleotide ribosomal RNA is filed under the name uncultured bacterium. Its description in RNAcentral is "partial 16S ribosomal RNA". It matches the Rfam family "Bacterial small subunit ribosomal RNA", at positions 524 to 776 of the family's 1533-position model. The record is from RNAcentral.